This 207-nucleotide ribosomal RNA is filed under the name uncultured bacterium. RNAcentral's name for it is "partial 16S ribosomal RNA". It matches the Rfam family "Bacterial small subunit ribosomal RNA", at positions 568 to 774 of the family's 1533-position model. The record is from RNAcentral.
UGCGCAGGUGGCCAAGUGUGUCAGGUGUGAAAUCCCGGGGCUUAACUCCGGAACUGCGCCUGAAACUGCUUGGCUAGAGCAUUGGAGAGGGUAGUGGAAUUCACGGUGUAGCAGUGAAAUGCGUAGAUAUCGUGAGGAACACCAGAGGCGAAGGCGACUACCUGGACAAUUGCUGACACUCAGGCACGAAAGCGUGGGGAGCCAAAG